AAAGUGUACAGGUUUCCGUAGGUGACCUGCGGAGGAUCAUUACCGAUGUAAAAUCCAAGUUUAAUUGGAGUGUACCGCGAACCGUCCUUGACGUUGGGGGUCGUCCUUGUGAGUGACGUUAAAUAGCGUUAGCCUGCUCGAGAUCAAAGGACGUUAGAGAAGAGAUGUUAUUCUCGGAUAUUUCGUCCGUUGGACAGGUGUCUCGCAGCCCCCACAUUUAUUUUUUUAAAACACAGUAACAAAAAAUCUAAACAACCUGAAAAAUACCUUAUAAACAGUACAACUUUUAACGGUGGAUCUCUUGGCUCGCGCAUCGAUGAAGAACGCAGCCAGGUGCGAUAAGUAAUGUGAAUUGCAGAAUUCAGUGAAUCAUCGAAUCUUUGAACGCAAAUGGCGCUCUUGGGUUUUCCCAGGAGCAUGUC
This 422-nucleotide ribosomal RNA is filed under the name Zoanthus sansibaricus. RNAcentral's name for it is "partial 18S ribosomal RNA". The stretch from base 282 to 422 matches the Rfam family "5.8S ribosomal RNA". The record is from RNAcentral. Lineage: Eukaryota; Metazoa; Cnidaria; Anthozoa; Zoantharia; Zoanthidae.